AGUCUAACAUGUGCGCGAGUCAUUGGGACAUAAGAAACCUAAAGGCGCAAUGAAAGUGAAGGUCGUACCUUGCGUCGACCAAGGGAGGAUGGGCCGCGUUACGAUGCGGCCUCGCACUCCCGGGGCGUCUCGUUCUCAUUGCGAGAAGAGGCGCACCCAGAGCGUACACGUUGGGACCCGAAAGAUGGUGAACUAUGCCUGGUCAGGACGAAGUCAGGGGAAACCCUGAUGGAGGUCCGUAGCGAUUCUGACGUGCAAAUCGAUCGUCGGAACUGGGUAUAGGGGCGAAAGACUAAUCGAACCAUCUAGUAGCUGGUUCCCUCCGAAGUUUCCCUCAGGAUAGCUGGCACUCGCUCGUUCCUCUAUUGUGAACGCGUGCGAGUCUCAUCUGGUAAAGCGAAUGAUUAGAGGCCUUGGGGCCGAAACGACCUCAACCUAUUCUCAAACUUUAAAUGGGUGAGAUCUCUGGCUUGCUUGAAUUUACACUGAAGCCACGAGAUGAUUUGGAUCAGAGUGCCAAGUGGGCCAAUUUUGGUAAGCAGAACUG
RNAcentral lists this ribosomal RNA (547 nucleotides) under Sphecodes (Austrosphecodes) sp. 12 JH-2013. RNAcentral describes it as "eukaryotic LSU rRNA". It matches the Rfam family "Eukaryotic large subunit ribosomal RNA", at positions 672 to 1152 of the family's 3401-position model. The record is from RNAcentral. Lineage: Eukaryota; Metazoa; Arthropoda; Insecta; Hymenoptera; Halictidae. RNAcentral also lists the same sequence under 1 other name.